Struthio camelus australis is the source of this 3730-nucleotide long non-coding RNA. RefSeq lists it as uncharacterized. The record is from RefSeq and is a predicted model, not a curated record. Lineage: Eukaryota; Metazoa; Chordata; Aves; Struthioniformes; Struthionidae.
CAUACGCUGCCCUCUCGCAUUGCUCCGCUUCCUGCUCCCCUCCCCGCGCGCACACGCCGCAUGUUGCUCUGCUCUCCCUCCUCCGUGCACACCAGCUACCCACGGGCACAUUGCUCCGCUGUGGGCCCCCCUCCGCCGCGCACACGCCCCGCAGACCGCUCCGCUGCCCCCGCAGCCGCAUUCCUCGGCUUCCAGAUCGCACCGUGUCAAGGAGCCUGGCAAGAGGAGGAGCCAUUGCCGGGCCUGCAUUGCUAGCUAGCGGCUGGUCGAAAAGCGAGAGGUCGGCCAACCACUGCCUUGAAAAUCACCACGGCUACCGCACCGCUCUAGUACUCCAGCACGUUCACGUUACCUGCUGAUGACAACUGCCCCAUCAGAUGCUUAUCCCGUGGCAGCGGUCUUUCCUCUCCGAGGCGCUGAGCCGUUCCAACUGCGAUUCCUGUUUAGUCUAGGUUUCCUUCGCCUCUGCAGGCAAGAAGAAGUGGAACUGGUGUGCUUGCAGCUUCUCUCAUGGCCUCUGAGGGUAGAAAGGAUGAAAAUUAUGUGGAGCAUGAGAAGGUACAGUGAGAGCCUGGGGCCCAGCCAGCUUUGAAAACCAGAGUGAUUUUUCAUAUCCAAAGAAGCCAAGCUCCACUGACUGAGGGCAUCUCUGACGGAAGGGCAGGACUGCAAGCUUUUCAACAAUGGGAGAAAUGGGAUAAAACACCUAAAUUCAGAAGAGUAUGCACUGCUGCAGACCCUGAGCAGACAGGAAUUACCCAUCUGAAUAGAGGGAGAAUAUGACUGAGCGUCUCGUGUGUGAAGAACAUUUUGGGAAGAGGUACACUUAAAGAUUAUUUCUGAACAAGGAUGAGCUGUCUGUUUGCUAUACCCUAGCCUCCAGUUUGUCCUUUCAAAGGUUGCCACUGCAUCGAUUAGAAGGAAAAGGCCGCAACUUCGCCACUCCAGAGGAGCAGCUGAUUAAUCCCAUGUCAACAGUCUUGACCCUAUGCAGAAAACAGAAUCACAGAAGGCCUGCUUAACAAUAUAUCAAGGAUAGCACAGUUUGGAAAAUGCAGUUUGCAAGCUCAUUUGCUCCUGCGCCGUGUUCAUAAGCAGAAUAUCAUUCCUUUCUGCAUAUCCGCUAGACUGGACAAAUCAAGGUGACAAUCCAUGGUUAACUCUGUCAGGCCCUUUGUCCUGCUGCUCCUGUGAAGCGCAAUACAAUGGGAACAAAGUGGAAUAUAUAACAGUCCAGCUGCCUUGUUGUGACAGCGCCGGCCCGAAUUACAGUGUGUCAGCCCUUGUUUGUGUAUCGAUAGCCGGUCCAUAACAUGACAAUGCAGAUUGCGCGAAAGCGCUUCGAUACGAGAAAAAAUCAUGUCAAGAGAGGGGAAAAAAUCAAACCUGUCUUGCGAAACUGAAGCUCGUAAAAGGCUAUAUUUUGGUACAGUUGUUACCUUCAGAUGUAGGGCCCGUUUUUUCAGCCUGGCAUGUUUCUAAGGGAUGCAGGUAGGCGCUUGCUUUUAAAUCUAUCAUACGGUGUCUGCUUACAGGGCUCCGCACUGAUGCUACUUUUAAGGCAGUUUAUAUUUCAUUUAAGCAUGCAAUUAAUCAUCUUUACAGUGUUGAUGUGACUGGCAUCAGCAGCGUUAUUUAAUUAAAUUUGAAAUUAUUGUACAGUAAAUAUAGGCUUCCAACUAGCCAGUCCAAAUUAAAUGCUGAGGUCUAUUUCUUACCCAUGGUGUUUCCAAUUUAAAUGCUCAUCCAAAAGGUUACACUUCACGGGUUGAAAUCAUUUUUAUGUUCUAACUGUUGCUAAACCAAAAGAUCAACUGUAUGUGAGUCCUGUGCAUCUAUUAGCUGCAGGAAUGUGUACACAUUAUCUAUAUUUCUCAUAUUCCAUUUUGUAUUAGCGAUUUUAUGACUGAUGCUCUUUAAGCACCAUUUUUCGUCUGAUACUCUGUCUCUUCUGUCACGUCAGCCCCGAGCUGCCGUUACAGAAAAGUCCUUCCUCCAUUUUGUUUCAGCCUGGUAAUCAAGCAAUUAGUCCACAAAAUGGAGGUGCUCUGCUUCGCUCCUCAUCCUGCGUGUCGCUCUGGGUGGGCUUUACCUGCGGGAAAGCGGCAGGCAGCGCGCUUUGCUGCCGCAAGGGCUAAAUCGGCCGCCGGAGAGUGUCCCCACGAUGACCAGUAAGUGUCCAUUGCUUAGGGGGACUCGUAGAGGAGAGAGACCUUUGUGGUGCUUCGCUGGAGAAUUAACGCGCAGCACACGCACUACCUGCCAACGCUGCACACGCCACAGCAGAAGGCGUAUGGCUGCUCCCCUUCCCUGACUGCGUUCAAGCUCUAAUUUUAUAACGACCUGAAAACGUGCAGGCAGCCGAACUUUUAAACGUUAGGAACAACAUUGCUUUUCACCUUGUCUUUAUUUCAUAAAGAAAAGAAGCGGGGGGAGGGGAAGGAAAUCAAACCAAACCAAACCACACCAAACCAACAACACCAUUUGUUUUAUGUUACAGCUUUCCACAGACAAUUCACAACAUGUCUAGCAAGGAAUCAGACCAGAAAUACCGUCUCACUCCUAUCAUAUAUAUAAUACAGCUUUUGAAUACUGGAAAAUCUGUCAUCCGUUAAGUGCAGCUCAGGUCUUCUGUGUGAAAAGCACAAGCCUUUUUUUUUUUUUAAUGCAGUGCUGCCGUGUCUGCACUUUUUUGAAAUUGCAUAUUUAUCAGUCUAUGAAUUAUUUAUGAGUGGAGAAGGGAGGGGGAGGGCUGGAAGGGGAAGGAAGAGUGAGAAAACAUAUGCUUGGGCAGAGGAAUACCUUAAAUGAAUCCUGUACCAAGUCUUUUGGAGGAUUAUUUGUAAUUACUUUUUCGUUUUCUUUUUUCUUUUUUUUUUUGUUUCUCUUACGUGUCACUCGGUUGUCUGCUAUUCCUAUUCUUUUGUUUGGUUGGUUUUGUUUGACUUUUUGGGACUAGGAAGGGAUUGGGGUACUGCUUGCUAAAAGUUGGAAGAUUUUGCCACAGAAAUGAACUGAGCAGUUCUUUUGACUUCUAAAGUACAGGGUGUUUAAUAAAUAUUAAUCCUUCAACUGUCAGACUGAAUUAUUGUCAAAAAGGGGCUGACAGAUUGAGGAUUAAUGACAUGUUUCAUAAAUUAGAAAUGAACUAUCAGCAGAACGUCCAAAGGAGGCAUCAGGAACGGACGUGGUUUGCCGUAGACCAGUUGCACAUCCCACGCGUGUCAGACCGUAGUUCAGACUUAAGCAGAAAACCAAAACAACCCUCCCUCCCACAAACACACCUUCUGCUCUUCAGGUACUAGGAUCUGACAUGUAGAGACUUUCCUCUUUAGGAUCAGCAUGUACUGAAAUAGCAAGGUUGUCUCAGACGCCAGAUAAUUUGAUCAGACAGGGUCAAAUCUAUAUAUAUAUAUUUUAAUGGUUUUGUUAGAGAGAAAUUGGGGGAGGUGGAGUGAUUUCUAUUCAAACAUCUCAAUGUUGUAUUUUCCUACUAUGAAAAACAUAACAUCACAGAAAGCUGGAAGACAUGGCAUUAUGAUGGUAAAUUGGAAAAAUGGUAGAUGCCUCUUCAAAAACACCCGGAAUUUCAUAUAUAAAUUAUGUAUUAAAAGAAAUAUGUUUGCAUAAAACAAGUGGUAGUAAUUUAAUAUCAGGUGACAGGAUUUUUAGGAGAGGCUAAUGUGUGUCAAAAAAUACCGUGUGGAGUUUUUAAUCAAACUCAUGAUCC